This 538-nucleotide ribosomal RNA is filed under the name uncultured bacterium. RNAcentral describes it as "bacterial SSU rRNA". It matches the Rfam family "Bacterial small subunit ribosomal RNA", at positions 355 to 911 of the family's 1533-position model. The record is from RNAcentral.
UGGGGAAUCUUAGACAAUGGGCGAAAGCCUGAUCUAGCCAUGCCGCGUGAGUGAUGAAGGUCUUAGGAUCGUAAAGCUCUUUCGCUAGGGAUGAUAAUGACAGUACCUAGUAAAGAAGCCCCGGCUAACUCCGUGCCAGCAGCCGCGGUAAUACGGAGGGGGCUAGCGUUGUUCGGAAUUACUGGGCGUAAAGCGUACGUAGGCGGAUCAGAAGUAUGGGGUGAAAUCCCAGGGCUUAACCCUGGAACUGCCUCAUAAACUCCUGGUCUUGAGUUCGAGAGAGGUAAGUGGAAUUCCAAGUGUAGAGGUGAAAAUUCGUAGAUAUUUGGAGGAACACCAGUGGCGAAGGCGGCUUACUGGCUCGAUACUGACGCUGAGGUACGAAAGUGUGGGGAGCAAACAGGAUUAGAUACCCUGGUAGUCCACACCGUAAACGAUGAAUGCCAGUCGUCGGGUAGCAUGCUAUUCGGUGACACACCUAACGGAUUAAGCAUUCCGCCUGGGGAGUACGGUCGCAAGAUUAAAACUCAAAUGAAUU